UGGGGAUUCGCCAAGUGGUAAGGCAGCGGACUUUGACUCCGUUAUUCGGGGGUUCGAAUCCCUCAUCCCCAACCA
This 75-nucleotide transfer RNA is filed under the name Candidatus Altimarinota bacterium. Its description in RNAcentral is "tRNA-Gln". It matches the Rfam family "tRNA". Rfam says of the family: Transfer RNA (tRNA) molecules are approximately 80 nucleotides in length. Their secondary structure includes four short double-helical elements and three loops (D, anti-codon, and T loops). Further hydrogen bonds mediate the characteristic L-shaped molecular structure. tRNAs have two regions of fundamental functional importance: the anti-codon, which is responsible for specific mRNA codon recognition, and the 3' end, to which the tRNAs corresponding amino acid is attached (by aminoacyl-tRNA synthetases). tRNAs cope with the degeneracy of the genetic code in two manners: having more than one tRNA (with a specific anti-codon) for a particular amino acid; and 'wobble' base-pairing, i.e. permitting non-standard base-pairing at the 3rd anti-codon position. Lineage: Bacteria; Candidatus Altimarinota. The record is from RNAcentral.